CGAGUGGCGGACGGGUGAGUAAUGUCUGGGAAACUGCCGAUGGAGGGGGAUAACUACUGGAAACGGUAGCUAAUACCGCAUAACGUCGCAAGACCAAAGAAGGGGGACCUUUGGGCCUCUUGCCAUCGGAUGUGCCCAGAUGGGAUUAGCUAGUAGGUGGGGUAAAGGCUCACCUAGGCGACGAUCCCUAGCUGGUCUGAGAGGAUGACCAGCCACACUGGAACUGAGACACGGUCCAG
Molecule: ribosomal RNA, 239 nt
Filed under: uncultured bacterium
Lineage: Bacteria
Description: partial 16S ribosomal RNA
Rfam family: Bacterial small subunit ribosomal RNA
Source: RNAcentral